Molecule: ribosomal RNA, 245 nt
Filed under: uncultured bacterium
Lineage: Bacteria
Description: partial 16S ribosomal RNA
Rfam family: Bacterial small subunit ribosomal RNA
Source: RNAcentral
UACGUAGGUGGCAAGCGUUGUCCGGAAUUACUGGGCGUAAAGAGCGCGUAGGCGGGGAUUUAAGUCAGGAGUGAAAACUACCGGCUCAACCGGUAGCCUGCUCUUGAAACUGAAUUUCUUGAGGGUAUGAGAGGAAAGCGGAAUUCCCAGUGUAGCGGUGAAAUGCGUAGAUAUUGGGAGGAACACCAGUGGCGAAGGCGGCUUUCUGGCAUACAACUGACGCUGAGGCGCGAAAGCGUGGGGAG